This 186-nucleotide small nuclear RNA is filed under the name Neotoma lepida (desert woodrat). RNAcentral describes it as "U2 spliceosomal RNA". It matches the Rfam family "U2 spliceosomal RNA". Rfam says of the family: U2 is a small nuclear RNA (snRNA) component of the spliceosome (involved in pre-mRNA splicing). Complementary binding between U2 snRNA (in an area lying towards the 5' end but 3' to hairpin I) and the branchpoint sequence (BPS) of the intron results the bulging out of an unpaired adenosine, on the BPS, which initiates a nucleophilic attack at the intronic 5' splice site, thus starting the first of two transesterification reactions that mediate splicing. Lineage: Eukaryota; Metazoa; Chordata; Mammalia; Rodentia; Cricetidae. The record is from Rfam by way of RNAcentral.
AUUGCCUCUCAGCAUUCUGGCAAAGAUAAGUCUAGAAUCUAUGUGUAUCAGUUGAACAUGUGAUAAUCCUCUAGCCGUGGACACUAUAUUAAGUGGAUAUUGGAAGCAGGGAGACGGGACAGGAGCUCACCUACCCUCUCCACACAUCACCCUGGUAUUGCAGUACCUCCAGAAAUAGCACUCUUU